Molecule: ribosomal RNA, 467 nt
Filed under: uncultured bacterium
Lineage: Bacteria
Description: bacterial SSU rRNA
Rfam family: Bacterial small subunit ribosomal RNA
Source: RNAcentral
UUCCAGACUCCUACGGGAGGCAGCAGUGAGGAAUAUUGGUCAAUGGGCGGGAGCCUGAACCAGCCAAGCCGCGUGAGGGAAGAAGGUACAGCGUAUCGUAAACCUCUUUUGUCAGGGAACAAAGGCGGGGACUAGUCCCCGGAUGAGGGUACCUAAAGAAAAAGCAUCGGCUAACUCCGUGCCAGCAGCCGCGGUAAUACGGAGGAUGCGAGCGUUAUCCGGAUUUAUUGGGUUUAAAGGGUGCGUAGGCGGAAGGUUAAGUCAGCGGUCAAAUGUCGGUGCUCAACACCGGCCUGCCGUUGAAACUGGUCUUCUUGAGUGAGCGAGAAGUAUGCGGAAUGCGUGGUGUAGCGGUGAAAUGCAUAGAUAUCACGCAGAACUCCGAUUGCGAAGGCAGCAUACCGGCGCCCAACUGACGCUGAAGCACGAAAGCGUGGGUAUCGAACAGGAUUAGAUACCCCCGUACG